GUAAUGCUUGGGAACUUGCCUUUAGGUGGGGGAUAACAGUUGGAAACGACUGCUAAUACCGCAUAAUGUCUACGGACCAAAGGGGGCUUCGGCUCUCGCCUUGAGAGAGGCCCAAGUGAGAUUAGCUAGUUGGUGGGGUAAAGGCCUACCAAGGCAACGAUCUCUAGCUGUUCUGAGAGGAAGAUCAGCCACACUGGGACUGAGACACGGCCCAGACUCCUACGGGAGGCAGCAGUGGGGAAUAUUGCACAAUGGGGGAAACCCUGAUGCAGCCAUGCCGCGUGUGUGAAGAAGGCCUUCGGGUUGUAAAGCACUUUCAGUUGUGAGGAAAGGUUGGUAGUUAAUACCUGCCAGCUGUGACGUUAACAACAGAAGAAGCACCGGCUAACUCCGUGCCAGCAGCCGCGGUAAUACGGAGGGUGCGAGCGUUAAUCGGAAUUACUGGGCGUAAAGCGCACGCAGGCGGCUUGUUAAGCUAGAGGUGAAAGCCCCGCGCUCAACGUGGGAACUGCCUUUAGAACUGGCAGGCUAGAGUCUUGGAGAGGGGAGUGGAAUUCCAGGUGUAGCGGUGAAAUGCGUAGAUAUCUGGAGGAACAUCAGUGGCGAAGGCGGCUCCCUGGCCAAAGACUGACGCUCAUGUGCGAAAGUGUGGGUAGCGAACAGGAUUAGAUACCCUGGUAGUCCACACCGUAAACGCUGUCUACUAGCUGUUUGUGUAUUUAAUACGUGAGUAGCGAAGCUAACGCGCUAAGUAGACCGCCUGGGGAGUACGGCCGCAAGGUUAAAACUCAAAUGAAUUGACGGGGGGCCCGCACAAGCGGUGGAGCAUGUGGUUUAAUUCGAUGCAACGC
RNAcentral lists this ribosomal RNA (851 nucleotides) under Aestuariibacter sp. DSM6. RNAcentral's name for it is "bacterial SSU rRNA". It matches the Rfam family "Bacterial small subunit ribosomal RNA", at positions 110 to 962 of the family's 1533-position model. Lineage: Bacteria; Pseudomonadati; Pseudomonadota; Gammaproteobacteria; Alteromonadales; Alteromonadaceae. The record is from RNAcentral.